UCCGGAUUUAUUGGGCGUAAAGCGAGCGCAGGCGGUUAGAUAAGUCUGAAGUUAAAGGCUGUGGCUUAACCAUAGUACGCUUUGGAAACUGUUUAACUUGAGUGCAGAAGGGGAGAGUGGAAUUCCAUGUGUAGCGGUGAAACGCGUAGAUAUAUGGAGGAACACCGGUGGCGAAAGCGGCUCUCUGGUCUGUAACUGACGCUGAGGCUCGAAAGCGUGGGGAGCAAACAGGAUUAGAUACCCUGGUAGUC
This 251-nucleotide ribosomal RNA is filed under the name uncultured Streptococcaceae bacterium. Its description in RNAcentral is "partial 16S ribosomal RNA". It matches the Rfam family "Bacterial small subunit ribosomal RNA", at positions 544 to 795 of the family's 1533-position model. The record is from RNAcentral. Lineage: Bacteria; Bacillati; Bacillota; Bacilli; Lactobacillales; Streptococcaceae.